This 287-nucleotide long non-coding RNA is filed under the name Pelobates cultripes (western spadefoot toad). Lineage: Eukaryota; Metazoa; Chordata; Amphibia; Anura; Pelobatidae. The record is from RNAcentral.
GGGGGGUGAGAAAGAGAAAUUGGGAGGAGGAGAAGGAAAUUGGAGCGGGAGGAGAGAUUGACAUUCAUCACACACAAUGCACCCCUUGUACACAGAAAAACACACAAUGCAUUACACACACACACACACACAUACACAAGCAAUGCAACCGUUACACACAAUGCAUCCCUUACACACACAGAAACACACAAUGCAUUCAUUACACACACUCAAUGCACCCCUUACACACAUUCAAUGCAUCCCAUACAUACACAGAAACACACCUUGCAGCCCCUACACAUACAAAC